Molecule: transfer RNA, 72 nt
Filed under: Phialemonium atrogriseum
Lineage: Eukaryota; Fungi; Ascomycota; Sordariomycetes; Cephalothecales; Cephalothecaceae
Description: tRNA-iMet
Rfam family: tRNA
About the family: Transfer RNA (tRNA) molecules are approximately 80 nucleotides in length. Their secondary structure includes four short double-helical elements and three loops (D, anti-codon, and T loops).
Source: RNAcentral
AGCACAGUGGCGCAGUGGAAGCGCGCCGGGCUCAUAACCCGGAGGUCAUCUGAUCGAAACGGAUCUGUGCUA